UGGCGCCCGAACAGGGACCUGGAAACGAGGGACUCCAUGAGGAAGAGGACGCCAAAGGACGGUCGACCGCUAACGAAGACAAAAGGAGUCAAACUCUUCCGAUCACCGCGGGAACCUGCCAUGUCAGAAUCGAAGGUAAGUGAUGCGUCCGAAAUGGGACAAGAAUUAAGCCAACAUCAAAUAUAUGUAGGACAAUUAAAAGAGGCUUUAAAGAUACGAGGAGUAAAGGUUAAAGGUAAUGAUUUGUUUAAAUUUUUUGAUUUUGUAAAAGACACUUGCCCUU
This is a non-coding RNA of Macaca mulatta (Rhesus monkey), 283 nucleotides long. The record is from Rfam. Lineage: Eukaryota; Metazoa; Chordata; Mammalia; Primates; Cercopithecidae.